GCGCACCUUCGGGUGAGCGGCGGACGGGUUAGUAACGCGUGGGAACGUGCCCUUCUCUAAGGAAUAGCCACUGGAAACGGUGAGUAAUACCUUAUACGCCCUUCGGGGGAAAGAUUUAUCGGAGAAGGAUCGGCCCGCGUUAGAUUAGAUAGUUGGUGGGGUAACGGCCUACCAAGUCUACGAUCUAUAGCUGGUUUUAGAGGAUGAUCAGCAACACUGGGACUGAGACACGGCCCAGACUCCUACGGGAGGCAGCAGUGGGGAAUCUUGGACAAUGGGCGCAAGCCUGAUCCAGCCAUGCCGCGUGAGUGAAGAAGGUCUUAGGAUCGUAAAGCUCUUUCGCCAGAGAUGAUAAUGACAGUAUCUGGUAAAGAAACCCCGGCUAACUCCGUGCCAGCAGCCGCGGUAAUACGGAGGGGGUUAGCGUUGUUCGGAAUUACUGGGCGUAAAGCGCGCGUAGGCGGAUUGGAAAGUUGGGGGUGAAAUCCCGGGGCUCAACCCCGGAACUGCCUCCAAAACUCCCAGUCUUGAGUUCGAGAGAGGUGAGUGGAACUCCGAGUGUAGAGGUGAAAUUCGUAGAUAUUCGGAAGAACACCAGUGGCGAAGGCGGCUCACUGGCUCGAUACUGACG
This 631-nucleotide ribosomal RNA is filed under the name Leisingera daeponensis. RNAcentral's name for it is "bacterial SSU rRNA". It matches the Rfam family "Bacterial small subunit ribosomal RNA", at positions 66 to 745 of the family's 1533-position model. Lineage: Bacteria; Pseudomonadati; Pseudomonadota; Alphaproteobacteria; Rhodobacterales; Roseobacteraceae. The record is from RNAcentral.